Pelobates cultripes (western spadefoot toad) is the source of this 281-nucleotide non-coding RNA. The record is from the annotation of a GenBank genome assembly. Lineage: Eukaryota; Metazoa; Chordata; Amphibia; Anura; Pelobatidae.
CCUUUUCUGUUUUAUAAUUGGUUUUGUCAAGAUAAGCACAGAUCUCAAAACCGCGAGCAUCGUGACAGCUCUUCCGUCAGGUGGUGAACACAGUGAUACAAACUAACAGCCGACAAAAACGACCUCAGUUCGUGUUCUGGCUUUUAUAAAAUGAUAUGUGUGUGCUAAUCAAACACGAAGCGAAGUGUUCUUUUUGUUUUACUAUGUGAGUCAUUUCUCUUCCUGCACACAGUAACAUAGAAUGAGGAAUUUCAUUUCCACAAGAGUUUACGUACCUUGCA